AUGUUAUACACCGCACGCCAAAAUUGCCGAAUGGAGCAAAAACGGAAAAUACAUAUACAUGGACAGAAAGCUACAACAACUAACACCUCUCAGGGUGCACAGGUACUGUUGCCCCAUAGGGUAUAUAGCAAACCUAUGUAUGUAUGGGAGGUUGAGGUUCAGACAGUGUUCCACUUGAUCUCGAGCUGCAGCUUGCCGUUCCUGGAGUUGAUGAGGUGGUACUUCUCGUUGAUUCGCCCGUUGUUCACCACAUCCACCAGGUUUAUGUUGACAUGCCCCAGCGACUCCUGGGGUGCGGAACGGGAGGAGCCUGCGGCGUCUGCUUCUGAUCUCGAUGUGGAUCUUCUCGUCCAUGGGGGCCUCGUCCACCACGAACUGGAACUCCUCGUUCCACUGAUAUUGCCUUCACCAUCUGAAAUCAGAGGACUCGUGCUGUUUUCCUCUCUGAAAGGAUCAAACGUCAGUUCCACAACGAGCUUUCCUCUAUUCUUCUUGUUUUGCUGA
Molecule: ribosomal RNA, 504 nt
Filed under: Triticum aestivum (bread wheat)
Lineage: Eukaryota; Viridiplantae; Streptophyta; Magnoliopsida; Poales; Poaceae
Description: partial small subunit ribosomal RNA
Source: RNAcentral